CCUCCGGUGCUCCCCCGGCACGGCCGGUCUGGAAUCGUGAGGGAGAGUGGAUCUCGGAGUGUGAGCGCUUGCCGCGACACCCCUUCCCGCACCGCGUGCGCUGCUCGCCCUGUGUGACACAUCCCGCAAGCUCAUUACCGUGCCCAGAUGCAGAGGUGUCUGCACUGAUUGUGUGGUCUGAUGGGCUAGACAGCUCAGAAACACACCAAAAGUAAGCUGACUAACUCCUUCUACCACCUGGGACCUUGGUGUGGAAGACGGGUUAUAAAACACUGAGUUACAAACCUCGCUGUGGAGGAGUGGGAAUUGGAAGCUAAUUGCAUUUACAUGCAGGCAGGUGACUCGACAUUUCCCUGCUGUGGACGGCUGCUCUCUCAGCAGGCUGCAUCACAGAUUCACCUGGAUUAGUGAUGUUUUGGGUAGGAUGUGAAGGAAGGAGAUAUUCUCUGCAGUGGGAGCAGGAAUUAUUUUAUUCAAGGAUAAAAUAAUGGGCCCUAUAAUGCACUAUGGAUCCAGACUCUUCCACUUCAGGUCUGCCAGUCGGAGCAGCUGCUGGAUCCACAGCUCCCCACCUGAGGAAAAAGUGGGACUAGUGGAGACGAUCAUUGGAUUCUCAGCAUUUUCACUGGCAGUUCUUGGACCAGCUGGAUGGUUCCUGUGCCACCUUCCAAGCUAUAAAAAGAAAUAGAAAACAUCCCUUCAAAAUUAAGAUGUGAAGGCUGCAAUCAACUGUAAUACUCCAAACUUGGAUUCUCUUGAAAGCCCUGAUAUAGAAUAUAGCUAACUAAAGUCCCAGUUCACACACUAUUAUCCAUCCCAGGUCCCAGGUCAGAAAGCUUUUGCAGAUUUUGUGGAACUGGACCCAGAAAUUAAAUGGUGUAGGGAUGCAAAAUAGUGUCAGGUCUACUCUGCCAUCACCUGCUGCAUUGGACCAGUCUGCAUGUACCAGUCUGGAUCUGUCAUCAGGUACUGCGGGAAAUGGAAGAUCGGCGAGGAGGAUUGUAAACACGCUCGAGUGACCUGCAGUUUGGGUGUCAAAAAAACACAUAUAUCAUACUAAUUGUUGUUUGACCUUGUGUGUUAGACAGGUAGAACAUCUGUGUUUAGAUAACAUAGGCCUGUGGUAGCCUUAGAGGCACCCUACUGAACAUGCUUGAGAUUCUUGCCCUGCUGUGGGCAAGGUUAAAGCACAGUGGUAAAUUAUGCUUGUGCAAAUCCUUGAAAUACAGGAGAAAACAGCAGGUUGGGUGAUCCUAUUGCAUGGAUCAAGCUUCACAGUACUUGUGUUCCCACUUGUGUGUCUCUUCUGAUUGCUGCUUCGGUGAUCCCUGGUUGGCGAGGUAACAGAAGCGAAUUUACUCUCUGCAUUUAAUCUGUGGUUUUGAGGUUGUUCCUGUGUCCUGCCUGUGUCGACUCCUACUGGUACCAUCACAGCUUUAAACUAAAUAAAUGGGAGAAAAUACAGAAAAAAAAUAUUUUUAUAGUCAUCUCAGACAAAAAUUCUGAGAGUUUAAGAUGAUUUUCUCCAAAGUUUCUCUUGAAUGUUUACAUUCAUGUUCUUUUGGUGUGUUCCCCCACCCAAUCUACUCUUCCACAAGGAUAAAUGUUUUUCUGCAGAUCAUGAUUAUUAGAUACUUCACUUUAUUUUCAAUGUCUAGAUUAAAAUUUGUGACAUUUGAGAUAUAUUCCUAUGAUUGCUAUUUACAAUAAAUGCUAUGAUAAAUACUUUGAAUUUUAGACUAUAUUUGAGAAAAGUACAAUAAAUAAUACUUGUUAAGCCAUGUUACAUGUGUUAUAAAGGAAUGUCUUCUAAUAAUUUCAUGUCUGUCUUGCAAAAAAAUACAGAAUAUUAACCUAUCUCACUUUGUGUUUCCCACCAAGGCUCUUGUCUCUGAUAGCCCACCCUUCAUUUCAUCUUGCAUAGCUCCUGGACUCCCAUGUGGAGCAAACCCAUUUGCAGGAGAGACUAGCUGGCUCAGCUGGCUCCUAGGGAGGUAGUCUUCAAGCACACAAGCAAGAUCAGUCAGCUCUACUUGUUACUGAGCCAGGGAUUUGAUGUAGCAUGGGUCCCAAACAUGGUACAGAUGUGGUAAAACACCUUAGCAGCGUUGAACAUCACAUGUUUUCU
This is a long non-coding RNA of Myiozetetes cayanensis, 2128 nucleotides long. RefSeq lists it as uncharacterized. The transcript is spliced from 5 exons. NCBI's taxonomy places the organism in Eukaryota, Metazoa, Chordata, Aves, Passeriformes, Tyrannidae. The record is from RefSeq and is a predicted model, not a curated record.